This 301-nucleotide ribosomal RNA is filed under the name uncultured bacterium. RNAcentral's name for it is "partial 16S ribosomal RNA". It matches the Rfam family "Bacterial small subunit ribosomal RNA", at positions 509 to 807 of the family's 1533-position model. The record is from RNAcentral.
CAGUAGCCGCGGGAAUACGAAGGGUGCGAGCGUUAAUCGGAAUUACUGGGCGUAAAGCGUGCGCAGGCGGUUCGUUAAGACAGAUGUGAAAUCCCCGGGCUUAACCUGGGAACUGCAUUUGUGACUGGCGAGCUAGAGUAUGGCAGAGGGGGGUAGAAUUCCACGUGUAGCAGUGAAAUGCGUAGAGAUGUGGAGGAAUACCGAUGGCGAAGGCAGCCCCCUGGGCCAAUACUGACGCUCAUGCACGAAAGCGUGGGGAGCAAACAGGAUUAGAGACCCCUGUAGUCCCUGUCUCUUAUAC